This 462-nucleotide ribosomal RNA is filed under the name uncultured bacterium. Its description in RNAcentral is "partial 16S ribosomal RNA". It matches the Rfam family "Bacterial small subunit ribosomal RNA", at positions 28 to 507 of the family's 1533-position model. The record is from RNAcentral.
GACGAACGCUGGCGGCGUGCUUAACACAUGCAAGUCGAACGGAAAGGCCCUUCGGGGUACUCGAGUGGCGAACGGGUGAGUAACACGUGGGUGAUCUGCCCUGCACUUUGGGAUAAGCCUGGGAAACUGGGUCUAAUACCGAAUAGGACCACGCGCUUCAUGGUGUGUGGUGGAAAGCUUUUGCGGUGUGGGAUGGGCCCGCGGCCUAUCAGCUUGUUGGUGGGGUAAUGGCCUACCAAGGCGACGACGGGUAGCCGGCCUGAGAGGGUGACCGGCCACACUGGGACUGAGAUACGGCCCAGACUCCUACGGGAGGCAGCAGUGGGGAAUAUUGCACAAUGGGCGCAAGCCUGAUGCAGCGACGCCGCGUGAGGGAUGACGGCCUUCGGGUUGUAAACCUCUUUCAAUAGGGACGAAGCGCAAGUGACGGUACCUAUAGAAUAAGCACCGGCCAACUACGUG